AACAAAAUAAAACUGAUGCUAUACUCUACUUAUCCACUAGUGGGCAGUUAUAGUGAAUCACAGUCUUGCAAUGCAAGAGUUCAAGAAUAGUAUAGUGUUAUCCUUCAUAUUUCUAAAGACUUUUCAUGUGUCAAAUCCUUCUGACGAGAGCGAAGAGCUGUCAGUUUUAUGUAUGCUGAGAUUGUGUCUGGUUUGGAAUCUGCAGGGUGUUUUGUGGGUGUAUCAUGUCUGGUGUCUGCUUCUGGAGGGUAGUUUUUCAGUGGCUAGCACAGAAGGGCACACCAGCAUCCAGAUGGCUACUGUUGCAGCAUUUAUGAAGUGCAAAAUAUCUACCUACACAUGCUCCAGUCAGCGGCAGUCUGGAUUGUGAUGAUGCAUGAGAUAUCUGGAGUGUCUCAUUAAUAUCCCUCUCCAGAGGCAGAGGAUCAACACAGAUGGGACAUUUAGAUAUUCACAAUCAAUACAACAAUCAGUUUGCAGAGCAAGAACAUCUAAAUCCAGUAUUGGUGCUGUAUGGAAAAGUGCUGCAGUAUGGAUUCAUUCAUAUUAAGGCUGUUGAGGGCUCCCAUAUCCUCAUCGCCUGUGGUAUUGAUCCUGGACUCACCUCAAGUCAUGCUGGAUGUGAUGGACAGUGGGCUAUCUGUAUGAUCUAAAUAUGGCUAUAACAACAACAGAGAUAAACGUAGUCAGACUGAUAUUAUGAAUUUAGCUAUUUCAGUCUGAAACUGAAUAACUUUAUACUUUUAGAAUGUGUUACAGUUUGAGAAUGACGCAUUUACACAAAUGGCUUUUGAUAGUUUCAAAUACUUCAGCAAGGUUAACAGACCCGUAUGGUGGAAUGAUAUCAUUUAUCUGACAUGCAAAUGAGGGAUAGAAAAUGCUCUGGUUAAACGCGGUGAUUGAGGUCACGGGGAUCGCACAUGGAUUUGGCGGAUGGGUUGGAGACAGGCCCUUUCUCCGCCUGCACUCCCUAGAAAUAGCGCUCUCUCUUUUGGGGUUCGGCGCUGCGGCCUCUCCCCACUUUGAGUGAGAGCUUGAUCGUUGUAGCUAUCUUUCGCCGAGGAGAUUGAUAUUGUUUGCAUAUGAGCAGACUGCUUUUGGGUCACUCGUUCUCCCUGCCCUCUGUAAAUAAGGGGUGGGGAUGCACGCGAUUUAUUAUGUGUAGUCUGUUUUACUACGAUAACCAUGGUCAAUUUUGGUAAGGGUUGUGAUGUCCACAUGUUUUUGUUGGAGAAAUUAAAGAGGCUGUAGCAUUUCUAUCCAAAAAAGGUGGCCAAAAAUUUUAAAUUAAGUGGAUAUUUGAAUGUUUGGUCAAUAUUAAACAAGGAUGUAAGUGCAAUAACAGCAAUUAUCAGGCCUUUGGUGCCCUUUGCAGGCAUUUGUAAUAAUGUUAAUUGUUUAUUUUGUAUUAUUGUAUUAUUGUAUUAUUAAUUAACCAAUUGCCUCGUUGUUUUAUAUAAUACAUUUUAAGUCAUGGAAACUAGAAUAUUAAGUCAGAUGCGUUGGUGGUGGUGGUGAAAUUAUUACCGACAUUACCGAAAGGGAUACUACACCCCAAAAUAAAUUUUUUGUCAUUAAUCACUUACCCCCAUGUCGUUCCAAACCCGUAAAAGUUUCGUUCGUCUUUGGAACACAAUUUAAGAUAUUUUGGAUGAUUGUGUGUGUGUGCGUGUGUGUGUUAUAUUAUUCAUCAGGGACUGGAGAUGGGCCUCCCCUUUCUCCUCCCUCCCUCUCUAUACAGCAAGCUCUUGGGAUAAAUUCUCGUGUGAAAGCCUGGUGUUUACCUCUCUUCCUCCGAGGAUGUUGGGCGGGAGCAGCCUCAGCCAUGUUCUAGCUCCUCAUUCAGGGAGCGUCGCUUCUCAAACUCCCCAGAAUUUUGGAGUCAGAGUGGCGGUGCCGGGCUGAAGGCUUCUAGCAGAAGGCGUAUCUGUGGACGUUCAUUCUCACUGGAUAGUCUUCAGCUAAAACGUCCUGACGCCUAUAGCACCUUCUGAAGGCCGGCCAUGUCUGUCUCCUGCUUGGAUUGAGUCAAUCAUCACUGCAGUCGCAAGAGUGUGAGAAGGCCGGUCACUCACUGUCAAGCAGUUAAAAAAAUUGCUGGGUCUGAUGGCAGCUGUUUCCAACGUGAU
Molecule: long non-coding RNA, 2129 nt
Organism: Cyprinus carpio carpio
Lineage: Eukaryota; Metazoa; Chordata; Actinopteri; Cypriniformes; Cyprinidae
Source: Ensembl